UUUGGCAUUUCAAGUAAGAUUUGGAUUAUACUCCGAGGAUCAACAUGACACCAUCAUGCAAGAACUGAUGUCCAUCUUUUGUGCUAGGCAUAAUAAGUACAUUGAUUACCUGUCCAAAGUUCUUUUGCCUGAAACAUUUGUAUUAAUUUACCAAGAAGUGUUUGGAGGGAACCAUGAUGAGGUUGAAAGGAAACUGAUGGGCAUUGACAAGAAUGAAAAAGAUAACUCUGUCACAGAUGCAAGCUUAUUAUCAGAGUAAUUAACAUUAACUAAAGAGUAUAUUUUUGUAUUAUAACACAUUGAUUAUAUUUUAUUGGAAAUAUAAUUGCAAAUAUGUUGAAUAGGAAAGAAUUAUAAUAUAUUUGUGUACAAAAUUGAAUAAAAGUAUAUAUUCUCUGUUUACUUGAAUAAAUAGUAUCAAAUAAAUAUUAUUACU
Molecule: long non-coding RNA, 436 nt
Organism: Exaiptasia diaphana
Lineage: Eukaryota; Metazoa; Cnidaria; Anthozoa; Actiniaria; Aiptasiidae
Exons: 3
Source: RefSeq, a predicted model, not a curated record